RNAcentral lists this transfer RNA (74 nucleotides) under Pelecanus crispus (Dalmatian pelican). It matches the Rfam family "tRNA". Rfam says of the family: Transfer RNA (tRNA) molecules are approximately 80 nucleotides in length. Their secondary structure includes four short double-helical elements and three loops (D, anti-codon, and T loops). Further hydrogen bonds mediate the characteristic L-shaped molecular structure. tRNAs have two regions of fundamental functional importance: the anti-codon, which is responsible for specific mRNA codon recognition, and the 3' end, to which the tRNAs corresponding amino acid is attached (by aminoacyl-tRNA synthetases). tRNAs cope with the degeneracy of the genetic code in two manners: having more than one tRNA (with a specific anti-codon) for a particular amino acid; and 'wobble' base-pairing, i.e. permitting non-standard base-pairing at the 3rd anti-codon position. The record is from Rfam by way of RNAcentral. Lineage: Eukaryota; Metazoa; Chordata; Aves; Pelecaniformes; Pelecanidae.
GUCGGGUUAGCUCAGUUGGUUAGAGCAUGGUGCUAAUAACACCAAGUUCACAGGUUCAAUCCCUGCUUACUGCA